Molecule: ribosomal RNA, 353 nt
Filed under: Dehalococcoidales bacterium
Lineage: Bacteria; Bacillati; Chloroflexota; Dehalococcoidia; Dehalococcoidales
Description: bacterial LSU rRNA
Rfam family: Bacterial large subunit ribosomal RNA
Source: RNAcentral
CGCCGGUUAAAGCGGUACGCGAGCUGGGUUCAGACCGUCGUGAGACAGGUCGGUCUCUAUCCGUCGUGGGCGUCUGGAGAUUUGAGAGGAGCUCUCUCUAGUACGAGAGGACCGAGAGGGACAGACCUCUGGUGUGCCAGUUGUCCCGCCCGGGGCAUAGCUGGGUAGCUACGUCUGGUGAGGAUAAGCGCUGAAAGCAUCUAAGUGCGAAGCCAACCUCAAGAUAAGAUCUCCCAUCCUCCCCUUCUGGGGAAGGAGUAAGACCGCAAGUAGACUACUUGUUUGAUAGGCGGUGGGUGUAAGGGCAGUAAUGUUCUGAGCUUAACCGUACUAAUGGUCGAGGGCUUGACCUG